Molecule: ribosomal RNA, 741 nt
Filed under: uncultured bacterium
Lineage: Bacteria
Description: bacterial SSU rRNA
Rfam family: Bacterial small subunit ribosomal RNA
Source: RNAcentral
AGAGUUUGAUCCUGGCUCAGGACGAACGCUGGCGGCGUGCUUAACACAUGCAAGUGGAGCGACGAACCAGGGCUUGCCCUGGGGCAGAGCCGCGAACGGGUGAGUAACACGUGGGUUACCUGCCCCGAUGACCGGGACAACCCGAGGAAACUCGGGCUAAUACCGGAUGUGGUCUUCGGACGAAAGGAAGCUUCGGCCUCCGCAUCGGGAUGGGCCCGCGGCGCAUUAGCUUGUUGGUGGGGUAACGGCCUACCAAGGCUUCGAUGCGUAGCUGGUCUGAGAGGACGAUCAGCCACACUGGGACUGAGACACGGCCCAGACUCCUACGGGAGGCAGCAGUGGGGAAUCUUGCGCAAUGCGCGAAAGCGUGACGCAGCAACGCCGCGUGGGGGAAGACGGCCUUCGGGUUGUAAACCUCAUUCAGUUGGGACGACCGCCAUCCGGUUAAUAGCCGGUUUGGUUGACGGUACCUUCAGAAGAAGCCCCGGCUAACUACGUGCCAGCAGCCGCGGUAAUACGUAUGGGGCAAGCGUUGUCCGGAAUCAUGGGGCGUAAAGAGCGAUGUAGGCGGCCCCGAUAAAGUCCGCUGUGCAAAGUACAAGGGCUCAAGCCCUGGAAAUGACUGGUGGAAUACUGUUCUGGGCUCUAGUUUCGGGACNANGGUGGAAGUGGAAUUNCCUGGGUGUAUCCNGGUGGAAAUGCCCCNCGAUUGUUCNGGAAGGGAACGCCCCAUUGGGCCAA